UGUUUUCCAGGCGAAUUAAAGCUGAAUGAAACUUGUCAACGAAAUGAGCAGUAUUCCGUGACAUCUGGGUCUGUUUGUCAGAACGAUACCUGCGUCUUGCCCCCUGAUGACAAACCUCAAUCGUCUAUACUCGAUCAUAAAUUAAAUAACUUUGAAGGCAUGACAUUUGGAAAUCUUUUUGGUGGACUCGUUCUAAACAUAAUUCUAACUGCUAUAGCAAUUACUAUCUUCCAUAAUGCACGACAGAAGAAAACUAACAC
This is a long non-coding RNA of Saccostrea cuccullata (small rock oyster), 260 nucleotides long. RefSeq lists it as uncharacterized. The record is from RefSeq and is a predicted model, not a curated record. The transcript has 3 exons. NCBI's taxonomy places the organism in Eukaryota, Metazoa, Mollusca, Bivalvia, Ostreida, Ostreidae.